CAAACCACCCAAGGAGCAAAGAAGAAGUUGACACGGACUGGGUGGCAAUACUCUCGUUUGACAGCUUCAAAGUAGAAGAUGCAUUUGAGAAUGAAACUUGUCGCUGGGCUCUUGGCCAAGGCAAGCCAUAAGACAGCUUGACUGCUUAGACCUAAGCUGAUACCAAAGCAUCCGAUGGGGAACCUUAGAAGAAAUGGCCAUUUCUCCUCUUUAGGAAGCAGAAUAUCUUCAUGCUCCUGAGACAGAACACAAGUGGAAUAAGACAAAACAUCAGAUUCUAGAUCAUUUUUGGCUAUUGGGUGUCUGAAGAAAAGAGAUAGGAAGAGUUACCUUGACUUCAUCUAAUUCGGGUCCUCGAAGAGCAGCAAAGUAUCUUCCAGCCGGAACACUUGCAUUUAUAGACUCAUCUAAGCCAUUGGGUUCACCAUCUUCAGUUCUGACAGAAUUCUCGACGUCUCUUUCCUUUCUUGCAGAAGGCAAAAGAGAGUUCUGCUUGCUAAGCGUCGACUUAGUCCUGAAGAUACUGAAAUCCGCUUUCCUUGCAUCUCCUCCACCAUUGAUUCUGGCACCAGAUUCAAAGCCAGCAAAGCUCCGACCACUUCUUGGUAACUCUCUUAUCUGUUCUUGUUGUCUCCUGUUCCUUUUCUGGCUCUUGCUCUGUUGCAUCUUCAUGCAAAACCUCGUGGAUGUCAAUGAAAUCGGCUCGGAGCGAGUUGGGAGGAGGAGAUGAUGGUCGUUUCCGCUCCAUAGCCCCAAGAUUUCGAUUCUUGAACUGCAUAAGCAAUGGCUUCUCCUAAACAUAGGGAAGAAACGUAUGUAUAGAAAGAUUUGUGCAUUUAAGACAGUGGACUUUGGAAAGAGAUCACGAGAGGAAAGUAGUUUUGAUGAAAUGGGAACCAUUACUUUUUUUUUUUUGUGGAAAGUGAAUUUAAGUUA
Tarenaya hassleriana is the source of this 936-nucleotide long non-coding RNA. RefSeq lists it as uncharacterized. NCBI's taxonomy places the organism in Eukaryota, Viridiplantae, Streptophyta, Magnoliopsida, Brassicales, Cleomaceae. The transcript is spliced from 3 exons. The record is from RefSeq and is a predicted model, not a curated record.